RNAcentral lists this small RNA (3432 nucleotides) under Pongo abelii (Sumatran orangutan). RNAcentral's name for it is "retained intron". The record is from RNAcentral. Lineage: Eukaryota; Metazoa; Chordata; Mammalia; Primates; Hominidae.
AGCACCUUGCUGGCCCACCUGGACUGAGAAGCAUCAGAGUCGUGAUAGGGGUGGGCCCAGGAGAGCACACGGCCCCCGUGACCCUCACAGCCAGAGUUGGCGCUGUGGGUGGGAAUUGUAGGCAGAUUUCAGCCAGUUUUAGGGAGCAGCUUUUUUAGGGUCACUGCUGCCCAGCCAUGGAGUGAGCUCUGUGUCACUGGAGGUAUGCAAGCAGGGACGGGAGACGCACUUGUCAAGGAUAUGGUAGCAGGAAGUCUGGGUUAGACUAGAAGACCUCCUUUCUGUGCGGAUCUGAUUCCAGCAGGAAGCCACAGCCAGGUGGCCGAGGGCCAUGCUGGGCACCCAAGCAGCCCUGACUGGUGCUGUGGGUGGGCAGGCCCUCAACAUAUCAUUCUUGGAAGAGAACAUUAACACUCGUGAUGUUUCCACAUCUACCCUCACGGGACCCCAGGGAGUGGCGGCUGGGUGGGGAGGCUCACGACAGCAUCAUCCUUCCCACAUUCUGAGUGGCCCCUGAGCCCAGAUUCUUCUUUUCCAGCGAUAAGUUCACACGGUUUUGCCAGUGGAAGAAUGUGGAGCUCAACAUCCACGUGAGUGGGCUUGGGUGGGGCAUGGAAAGCCGUGCACCCUCCUGCUCCUCUCCCGGGAGCUGGGCUGGGAGCGGGGAGGUCAGGGGAUGUCUGUCCUUUAGCCUCCAGGGCCAUGGCUAUGGGGGUCAGGGCCGGGAUCCCAGCAUGGGGAGGCCAGAGCAGGUAAAUGUGUGGCGAGGAUGGCCAGGACAUGGGUAUGGGGACCCUGGCAUGGGGCCAGCCCCUGCUGCCCAGGUGCCUCUGCCCCGGGGCUGGGCAGAGGCAGCCUGUGGUGACCGCAGCUGUCGCUGCCCCUCAGCUGACCAUGAAUGACUUCAGCGUGCAUCGCAUCAUUGGGCGCGGGGGCUUCGGCGAGGUCUAUGGGUGCCGGAAGGCCGACACAGGCAAGAUGUACGCCAUGAAGUGCCUGGACAAAAAGCGCAUCAAGAUGAAGCAGGGGGAGACCCUGGCUCUGAACGAGCGCAUCAUGCUCUCGCUCGUCAGCACUGGGGACUGCCCAUUCAUUGUCUGCAUGUCAUACGCGUUCCACACUCCAGACAAGCUCAGCUUCAUCCUAGACCUCAUGAACGGUGGGGACCUGCACUACCACCUGUCCCAGCACGGGGUCUUCUCAGAGGCUGACAUGCGCUUCUAUGCGGCCGAGAUCAUCCUGGGCCUGGAGCACAUGCACAACCGCUUCGUGGUCUACCGGGACCUGAAGGUGAGCGCCCCUGCUGUCCACAGGCUGGACCUUCGUGGCUGUCCUCUCCUUCCUCUCGACAUCCCGGCCACCAGGCCCAGAGGAGUGGGGCUCCUGGGAUAUGGCCGCCCCGUGUCUUCCCAUCUCCGCCCCUGCCUUUCCCACCGAGCCACUCUCUGGGUCCAGGUUGUAGCUGGGGACAGGAGAGAGGACCCCACCUUUGCCCUUCCUUGGGGACCCAUCGUCCUCUCCAGUGAAGCAGUGACCCAGCUGGCAUCUUGCCUGGCUAGGCCCCAUCCUGAGCUGCCCCAGGCAGCUCACUGGGCUUCCUCCACAGCCGGCCAACAUCCUUCUGGACGAGCAUGGCCACGUGCGGAUCUCGGACCUGGGCCUGGCCUGCGACUUCUCCAAGAAGAAGCCCCAUGCCAGCGUGUGAGUGCCCCCCACCCUCUCCCUCCCCACCCCUUGCCACUCCCGCUCAUGGCCCCCUUGCUCUCACAGGGGCACCCACGGGUACAUGGCUCCAGAGGUCCUGCAGAAGGGCGUGGCCUACGACAGCAGUGCCGACUGGUUCUCUCUGGGAUGCAUGCUCUUCAAGUUGCUGCGGGGGCACAGCCCCUUCCGGCAGCACAAGACCAAAGACAAGCAUGAGAUCGACCGCAUGACGCUGACGAUGGCCGUGGAGCUGCCCGACUCCUUCUCCCCUGAAUUACGCUCCCUGCUGGAGGGGUUGCUGCAGAGGGAUGUCAACCGGAGACUGGGCUGCCUGGGCCGAGGGUGAGUGCCCUGGCGCCUUGGGCAUGCUGCUCGCUGUGCCCCCGUGAGGACAAGGGCUGUGUCCCAUCACCUGGAACCCCCUCCAAGGUCCCAGCCUCCUUGGAGGAGCUCAUAAGUUGGGGCAUGGCCAGCCCUGUCCAAUGUUCUCAGGGUGGAGGGGCUGCCCUGGCGGUUGGAGCUGCUGGAACCAGCUGGUAACUGGCUUCCAGAGGGGCCCUUGUCACAGAUGAUGAUGAUAGCAGCUUUUUAUGUUUAUUGAACAUUUAUUAAGCACUGGGCAUAGGGUUGCAAAAUUUACCAGUGUUAAAACCCACAACCCUAUGAUGUAGGAACUUCUAUUCUCCCAUUUGAAAGAUGAAGAAACAGCUCAGGCUUAAGGAACUUGCCCAAGUUCACAGAGCCAGAAAGUGGCUCAAUCAGGAGUUAAGCCCAGGACUCAGGGUGGGGCUGAGCCCAGAUGACUGGCCUCUCCCUACAGGGCUCAGGAGGUGAAAGAGAGCCCCUUUUUCCGCUCCUUGGACUGGCAGAUGGUCUUCUUGCAGAAGGUAACAGUCUGCGGCAGGGACUCGGGGUACUCUGCAGCCCCACCCCCGAGCUAAUGCCCAUGAUCCUUGUUCUGCUGCAGUACCCUCCCCCGCUGAUCCCCCCACGAGGGGAGGUGAACGCAGCCGACGCCUUCGACAUUGGCUCCUUCGAUGAGGAGGACACAAAAGGAAUCAAGGUACUGGGCUUUGCCUGGCCUCUUUUACCUGGGCUGUGAUCCUGGCCUGGGGGAGGAUCCCUCUCCCUUCUAAUCACCUGUGAGACCCUGUGCCAGCCCUGCCAGCUUGUAGGCCUCAGCUCCUCCUCGGCCAGCUUCCCUGGGGGUGGCAGUUGCACUGACCAUCCCUACCCACGGCCCUGGGUCUGGGCAGCCUGUGGCUUAUGGUAUUCUGGCAUCUCUGUCCGUCCAUGUGUCCCUGCCCCAUCCACCUGGUAAAGUUACUGGACAGUGAUCAGGAGCUCUACCGCAACUUCCCCCUCACCAUCUCGGAGCGGUGGCAGCAGGAGGUGGCAGAGACUGUCUUCGACACCAUCAAUGCUGAGACAGACCGGCUGGAGGCUCGCAAGAAAGCCAAGAACAAGCAGCUGGGCCAUGAGGAAGGUGAGGGCCGCUGCGGCACCAGGCCCCUGCCUGCUUAGAAGUGAGCAGCUGGCUCGGGUUUAAGGAACUCGCCCUGGAUCACAGCCAGAAAGUGGCGGCUCUGGGAUUGAAACUCAGGCUGGGGCCCGGCGUGGUGGCUCACACCUGUAAUCCCAGCACUUUGGGAGGCCAAGGAGCGCAGAUCACUUGAGGUCAGGAGUUUGAGACCAGCCUGGCCAACAUGGUGAAACCCUGUCUCUACC